UCCCUGGAGGACUAGUGGUUAGGCCACAGCGCUCACACUGCUGUGGCCCGUGUUUGAUUCCUGGCCAGGAAA
RNAcentral lists this transfer RNA (72 nucleotides) under Pangasius djambal. Its description in RNAcentral is "tRNA-Val". It matches the Rfam family "tRNA". From Rfam's summary of the family: Transfer RNA (tRNA) molecules are approximately 80 nucleotides in length. Their secondary structure includes four short double-helical elements and three loops (D, anti-codon, and T loops). Lineage: Eukaryota; Metazoa; Chordata; Actinopteri; Siluriformes; Pangasiidae. The record is from RNAcentral.